Molecule: ribosomal RNA, 446 nt
Filed under: uncultured bacterium
Lineage: Bacteria
Description: partial 16S ribosomal RNA
Rfam family: Bacterial small subunit ribosomal RNA
Source: RNAcentral
CCUACGGGUGGCAGCAGUCGAGAAUCAUUCACAAUGGGGGAAACCCUGAUGGUGCGACGCCGCGUGGGGGAAUGAAGGUCUUCGGAUUGUAAACCCCUGUCAUGUGGGAGCAAAUUAAGAAGAUAGUACCACAAGAGGAAGAGACGGCUAACUCUGUGCCAGUAGCCGCGUGAAUACAGCGGUCUCAAGCGUUGUUCGGAAUCACUGGGCGUAAGGCGUGCGUAGGCUGUUUCUUAAGUCGUGUGUGAAAGGCGCGGGCUCAACCCGCGGACUGCACAUGAUACUGAGAGACUAGAGUAAUGGAGGGGGAACCGGAAUUCUCGGUGUAGCAGUGAAAUGCGUAGAUAUCGAGAGGAACACUCGUGGCGAAGGCGGGUUCCUGGACAUUAACUGACGCUGAGGCACGAAGGCGAGGGGAGCGAAAGGGAUUAGAUACCCGAGUAGUC